AAACCGGAUUUUCUAAAAUCCACCCAACAAUCAAAGUCAUGAACCUU
Thalassiosira oceanica is the source of this 47-nucleotide non-coding RNA. NCBI's taxonomy places the organism in Eukaryota, Bacillariophyta, Thalassiosirophyceae, Thalassiosirales, Thalassiosiraceae. The record is from Rfam.